Long non-coding RNA from Oncorhynchus nerka (sockeye salmon), 3381 nucleotides. RefSeq lists it as uncharacterized. The transcript is spliced from 2 exons. NCBI's taxonomy places the organism in Eukaryota, Metazoa, Chordata, Actinopteri, Salmoniformes, Salmonidae. The record is from RefSeq and is a predicted model, not a curated record.
UGCUGCUACUCUCUAUUUAUUAUCUAUGCAUAGUCACUUUACCCCUACCUACAUGUACAAAUGACCUCUAACCUCGCACACUGACUCAGUACCGGUAGCCCCUGUAUAUAACCUCGUUAUUGUUAAGUAAUUAUGUGACUUUUUACUUUAGUUAAUUUGGUAAAUAUUUUCUUAACUCUUCUUGAACUGCACUGUUGGUUAAGGGCUUGUAAAGUAAGCAUUUCACGGUAAGGUCUACACUUGUUGUAUUCAGCAUUUCACUGUGAGGUCUACUACACCUGUUGUAUUCAGCAUUUCACUGUAAGGUCUACCUACACCUGUUGUAUUCAGAAUUUCACUGUAAGGUCUACCUACACCUGUUGUAUUCAGCAUUUCACUGUAAGGUCUACCUACACCUGUUGUAUUCAGAAUUUCACUGUAAGGUCUACCUACACCUGUUGUAUUCAGCAUUUCACUGUGAGGUCUACUACACCUGUUGUAUUCAGCAUUUCACUGUGAGGUCUACUACACUUGUUGUAUUAAGCAUUUCACUGUGAGGUCUACUACACCUGUUGUAUUCAGCAUUUCACUGUAAGGUCUACACUUGUUGUAUUCAGCAUUUCACUGUGAGGUCUACUACACCUGUUGUAUUCAGCAUUUCACUGUGAGGUCUACUACACCUGUUGUAUUCAGCAUUUCACUGUGAGGUCUACUACACCUGUUGUAUUCAGCAUUUCACUGUGAGGUCUACUACACCUGUUGUAUUCAGCAUUUCACUGUAAGGUCGACCUACACCUGUUGUAUUCAGCAUUUCACUGUAAGGUCUACUACACCUGUUGUAUUCAGCAUUUCACUGUAAGGUCUACUACACCUGUUGUAUUCAGCAUUUCACUGUAAGGUCUACUACACCUGUUGUAUUCAGCAUUUCACUGUGAGGUCUACCUACACCUGUUGUAUUCAGCAUUUCACUGUAAGGUCUACUACACCUGUUGCAUUCAGCAUUUCACUGUGAGGUCGACCUACACCUGUUGUAUUCAGCAUUUCACUGUGAGGUCUACCUACACCUGUUGUAUUCAGCAUUUCACUGUGAGGUCUACCUACACCUGUUGUAUUCAGCAUUUCACUGUGAGGUCGACCUACACCUGUUGUAUUAAGCAUUUCACUGUAAGGUCGACCUACACCUGUUGUAUUCAGCAUUUCACUGUAAGGUCUACUACACCUGUUGUAUUCAGCAUUUCACUGUAAGGUCUACUACACCUGUUGUAUUCAGCAUUUCACUGUCAGGUCUACUACACCUGUUGUAUUCAGCAUUUCACUGUCAGGUCUACUACACCUGUUGUAUUCAGCAUUUCACUGUAAGGUCUACUACACCUGUUGCAUUCAGCAUUUCACUGUGAGGUCUACCUACACCUGUUGUAUUCAGCAUUUCACUGUAAGGUCUACUACACCUGUUGCAUUCAGCAUUUCACUGUGAGGUCGACCUACACCUGUUGUAUUCAGCAUUUCACUGUGAGGUCUACCUACACCUGUUGUAUUCAGCAUUUCACUGUGAGGUCUACCUACACCUGUUUUAUUAAGCAUUUCACUGUGAGGUCGACCUACACCUGUUGUAUUCAGCAUUUCACUGUGAGGUCUACUACACCUGUUGUAUUCAGCAUUUCACUGUAAGGUCGACCUACACCUGUUGUAUUCAGCAUUUCACUGUGAGGUCUACCUACACCUGUUGUAUUCAGCAUUGGGCCUGUAAGUAAGCAUUUCCCUGUGCAGAUUGAAGGGGGUGGAUUCAUGCAAUGCAUUCUGGUAGGUACUGCCUCGCAGGACAGUGUCUUCCGCGAGCGUUGUUGAAAGAGACGUUAUGACCAGAAAAAUAUCAUAUGACUGAAAUGUAUUUUUAUUGACAAAAUAUAGUAGAUGCAUCUUUAAUCAGAAUUUAAAAAAAAAAACGCUAUUCAAAGUGCUCUUCUCACACAGCAUGGCCCCAUUACUUCAGGUCCUUGAAGGACCUCUUCUGACUGAUGUCCCCUCUACGCCUGAUGUUUCUCAGCCAUAUCUUCCUCCUGAAUAAUUGCAAAAAGAGUAGAAGAGGCCUGAGCAGCUUCUACCCUCUCCAGGAGUAGAAGUGACCUGAGCAGCAUCUACCCUCUCCAGGAGUAGAAGAGGCCUGAGCAGUUUCUACCCUCUCCAGGAGUAGAAGAGGCCUGAGCAGUUUCUACCCUCUCCAGGAGUAGAAGAGGCCUGAGCAGUUUCUACCCUCUCCAGGAGUAGAAGAGGCCUGAGCAGUUUCUACCCUCUCCAGGAGUAGAAGAGGCCUGAGCAGUUUCUGGGAAUCUACAACACCAGUUGUUUUUUAAUGUCUUCUCUGGGACUCCAGGCCAUUGUGUGUGUGUGUGUGUGUGUGGGUAUAUAGGCCAGUGUUCUGUUUAAAUGUGAGGGUUGUGUUAUCCAUCGUCGUUCUCUUAUACAUCUACACUGACGUUUUAAAUAGUUCUUUAGAUGCUCGUGAGUCUGAAGACACCUCCUGUCACCUGAACCUCCUGCAGACCAUCUGAACUACAUUAGGCAUCAUCUGCUGGAUGUUGGGUCUAUGCUUAAGGUCUCCUGUUCUCUUUCUCUCCUCUAGUUUCUGCUAGAUGUUGGGUCUAUGCUUAAGGUCUCCUGUUCUCUUUCUCUCCUCUAGUUUCUGCUGGAUGUUGGGUCUAUGCUUAAGGUCUCCUGUUCUCUUUCUCUCCUCUAGUUUCUGCUGGAUGUUGGGUCUAUGCUUAAGGUCUCCUGUUCUCUUUCUCUCCUCUAGUUUCUGCUGGAUGUUGGGUCUAUGCUUAAGGCCUCCUGUUCUCUUUCUCUCCUCUAGUUUCUGCUGGAUGUUGGGUCUAUGCUUAAGGUCUCCUGUUCUCUUUCUCUCCUCUAGUUUCUGCUGGAUGUUGGGUCUAUGCUUAAGGUCUCCUGUUCUCUUUCUCUCCUCUAGUUUCUGCUGGAUGUUGGGUCUAUGCUUAAGGUCUCCUGUUCUCUUUCUCUCCUCUAGUUUCUGCUGGAUGUUGGGUCUAUGCUUAAUAGUUAAUUUAGUAGUGUCAUGGUUGUUAUAACAUCUGUGGUAGUAUAGUGUAGUUUGUAGAUACUAGUUUAUAGUUUAUGUCCUCUAUCUCUGUUAUUCACCCUGAUUUGUUUUUAAUAGUACUCUACGGUUCAUUCAGACGGCAGCCAUUUUGUUGUUUUUCUCUCUCCGUAUGCGUGAGAGGAACGUGAUGUAGAAGUCAGAAGAAAAGCAGCCUUUGUUGCUACUCCUCUAACAUCGUCACUGACCGUGUCCUGCUAUAGUUAUUAGUUUAUAUGGACUCCAUCCCUGGAGACGUCUGGGGGUUUCUAACAGACGUUCAAAUGUAUGUAAUAAAUCAUGAGAAGAUGUCA